CAUUUGACGUUAGCUGCAGAAGAAGCACCGGCUAACUCCGUGCCAGCAGCCGCGGUAAUACGGAGGGUGCGAGCGUUAAUCGGAAUUACUGGGCGUAAAGCGCAUGCAGGUGGUUUGUUAAGUCAGAUGUGAAAGCCCGGGGCUCAACCUCGGAAUUGCAUUUGAAACUGGCAAACUAGAGUACUGUAGAGGGGGGUAGAAUUUCAGGUGUAGCGGUGAAAUGCGUAGAGAUCUGAAGGAAUACCGGUGGCGAAGGCGGCCCCCUCGGACAGAUACUGACACUCAGAUGCGAAAGCGUGGGGAGCAAACAGGAUUAGAUACCCCUGGUAG
This 330-nucleotide ribosomal RNA is filed under the name uncultured bacterium. Its description in RNAcentral is "bacterial SSU rRNA". It matches the Rfam family "Bacterial small subunit ribosomal RNA", at positions 466 to 793 of the family's 1533-position model. The record is from RNAcentral.